Long non-coding RNA from Budorcas taxicolor (takin), 1618 nucleotides. RefSeq lists it as uncharacterized. The transcript is spliced from 4 exons. NCBI's taxonomy places the organism in Eukaryota, Metazoa, Chordata, Mammalia, Artiodactyla, Bovidae. The record is from RefSeq and is a predicted model, not a curated record.
AGAUGUCCAUGUGUGGGGCUGAGCAGGUUGUGGGCACAGCAGAGGCAAGGGGGCUUGCAUAGGAGCCUAAGAAGCAGCCAGCAUGCCCUCGGAGGGGUCAGAUUGGGAGGAGGUCACGACAGGAGAGAGUUUUCAGUAGGGACUAAUCAGAGAGGACCAGUGCCACCCAGAAGUCCAGAAGGUGGCAGCUGGAAGGGAUUGUGAUUCUGCAUCAGCAUUUGGAAGAGCGGGAUAAGGAGGGACUGGGUGGAGAAGGGAAGCUGGAGGCGGGAAAAGUAGAGCUCUCCUUGGAGGUAGGCAUCUGAGAAGCACAAGCUGAGGGAAGACCCUGUCCUGGAGAGUCAGGGUCCUGGCAGAGACUUAACGAGAGGUGCUGUGCUAAGUCGAUUCGAGUGCGACUCGUCACGACCCUAUGGACUGUAGUCCGCCAAGCUCGUCUGUCCUUGGGAAUCUCCAGGCAAGAAUACUGGAAAGGGUAGCUGAUUCUCACUGCACUGACUAUUGUGCAAGGGAUCAGAAACCGGAGCCAAGAGGAGGUGGAGACAACAGCAAAAGCUCGUCAUGGAGAAGUUCAAUGACUCAGAUCAGAGAAAGAAGAGGCAUCAAGAAGCUUGCUUCUCGUCAGCUCACCUUCAUCCUCUGUUGACCCAGAUGAGAACCUGGGCUUGGAGCAGGACAGAAAGGAGCAGAAGCUUCUGUGCUGUGUGUGCCCCCUGGAUGUGACUCCCUCAGGUCAGAAGCUGAACAGCAUGUGAAAUCUGUUUCCUGUCCCUCACUGCCCAGCCCUGCCUGGGCUUCCAGCAAGUGGAAGUCACCCUUCCCCAUUGCCUCUCUUUCCCCCUCUUUGAAGUGAGGCAGACAAGGAAAAUGAGCAAGAGACAGCAAAAGAGAUUUCUUGACAUUUAACAUUUUUUCCUGGAGAUAUACAGGCAAGAAGAGGCAAAGGGGUCACCAGAGGCCACACCUCUGUGCCAUGCAGGAGACCCAGGUUCUAUCCCUAGGUCAGGAAGAUUCCCUGGAGAAAGAAAAGGAAACACGCUCCAGUAUUCUUACCUGGAAAAGUCCAUCCAUGGAGGAGCCUGGUAGGCUACAGGCCAUGCAGUCAUAAAGAGUUAGCUAUGCUUGAGUGACUAAGAACAGAGGCCAUACCCAUUUCUCUGGGUCUCAAACACUUGAAAAAUUGAGUCCCUGGGCACAGUAUGCGCCCCCCACCCUACCCCUUCCCAAAAGACAAGUAACUUUAAAGAAUGAAGUCAGAACUUAUUUAGCCCCAUUUAUUAUUUGAAUAAUAAUAAAUGAAUAGGUAAUACAGUCACAUGGUUCAAAAUUCAAAAUGUACAAAAGAUAUGUAGUAUCAAGUCUCCCUCCCAAGUCCCUACCUCCUGGUUCCUCUUCACAGAGGCAACCAGAGUUACCCGUGUCUUCUGAAUAUGCAUCUAUAAGAUAUGAAAAUAUGGAUUUAUGUGAUCCUCCCCCAUAAAACACAAAUGGAGGUGCCUGGUCCACAAUUCUGUGCAUUGCCUUGUUCUUUAGAAGAGUAAUUUGUAUAAAAAGAUAUAGUUUUAUAGCUGCGGAGUAUUGCUUUGUCAAGCUGUAUUAGAACUUACUUAACAAAUCU